UAACGCGUGGGUAACCUGCCUCAUACAGGGGGAUAACAGUUAGAAAUGACUGCUAAUACCGCAUAAGCGCACGGGACUGCAUGGUCCAGUGUGAAAAACCGAGGUGGUAUGAGAUGGACCCGCGUCUGAUUAGCUGGUUGGCGGGGUAACGACCCACCAAGGCGACGAUCAGUAGCCGACCUGAGAGGGUGGCCGGCCACAUUGGGACUGAGACACGGCCCAAACUCCUACGGGAGGCAGCAGUGGGGAAUAUUGCACAAUGGGGGAAACCCUGAUGCAGCAACGCCGCGUGAGUGAAGAAGUAUUUCGGUAUGUAAAGCUCUAUCAGCAGGGAAGAGAAUGACGGUACCUGACUAAGAAGCCCCGGCUAACUACGUGCCAGCAGCCGCGGUAAUACGUAGGGGGCGAGCGUUAUCCGGAUUUACUGGGUGUAAAGGGAGCGUAGACGGUUCUGCAAGUCUGAAGUGAAAGCCCGUGGCUUAACCGCGGAACGGCUUUGGAAACUGUGGAACUGGAGUGCUGGAGAGGCAAGCGGAAUUCCUAGUGUAGCGGUGAAAUGCGUAGAUAUUAGGAGGAACACCAGUGGCGAAGGCGGCUUGCUGGACAGUAACUGACGUUGAGGCUCGAAAGCGUGGGGGAGCAAACAGGAUUAGAUACCCUGGUAGUCCACGCGGUAAACGAUGAAUGCUAGGUGU
RNAcentral lists this ribosomal RNA (695 nucleotides) under uncultured bacterium. RNAcentral's name for it is "bacterial SSU rRNA". It matches the Rfam family "Bacterial small subunit ribosomal RNA", at positions 111 to 823 of the family's 1533-position model. The record is from RNAcentral.